UUAGUCAUAUAUAUGUGUAUAUAUAUGUGUGUGUGUGUGUCUGUGUGGCAUAUAUAUAUAUACACACACACACACACAUAUAUAUAUAAAACACAUAUA
This 99-nucleotide microRNA precursor is filed under the name Chlorocebus sabaeus (green monkey). RNAcentral describes it as "miRNA (ENSCSAG00000024562.1)". The record is from RNAcentral. Lineage: Eukaryota; Metazoa; Chordata; Mammalia; Primates; Cercopithecidae.